AGUAUUUUAGAUAUUGGAAUCUAGUGCACUAUGUACUAACUUCCAGCAACUAAACUCUAAGCGAUCUAGAUUGUUAGUGGCGGACGGGUGAGUAACACGUUGGAACCUACCCCGAAGUGAGGAAUAACUGCCCGAAAGGGUAGCUAAUACCUCAUAGUCUCCGAUUUAUUCGGAGUAAAGAUUUAUCGCUUCGGGGAGGGGCCUGCGUCCGAUUAGCUAGUUGGUGAGGUAAAUGCUCACCAAGGCGACGAUCGGUAGCUGGUUUGAGAGGAUGACCAGUCACACUGGGACUGAGAUACGGCCCAGACUCCUACGGGAGGCAGCAGUAAGGAAUCUUCCACAAUGGGGGGCAACCCUGAUGGAGCAAUACCGCGUGCAGGAUGAAGCGUUUCGGCGUGUAAACUGCUUUUAUCUGUGAUGAUUAUGACAGUAGCAGAAGAAUAAGGAUCGGCUAACUACGUG
Molecule: ribosomal RNA, 462 nt
Filed under: uncultured bacterium
Lineage: Bacteria
Description: bacterial SSU rRNA
Rfam family: Bacterial small subunit ribosomal RNA
Source: RNAcentral